RNAcentral lists this ribosomal RNA (478 nucleotides) under uncultured bacterium. RNAcentral describes it as "bacterial SSU rRNA". It matches the Rfam family "Bacterial small subunit ribosomal RNA", at positions 28 to 509 of the family's 1533-position model. The record is from RNAcentral.
GAUGAACGCUAGCGGCAGGCUUAACACAUGCAAGUCGAGGGGUAUAGUAGCAAUACUAGAGACCGGCGCACGGGUGCGUAACGCGUAUGCAAUCUACCUUUUGCAGAGGGAUAGCCCAGAGAAAUUUGGAUUAAUACCUCAUAGUAUAUAUGGAUGGCAUCAUUUAUAUAUUAAAGUCACAACGGCAAAAGAUGAGCAUGCGUCCCAUUAGCUUGUUGGUAAGGUAACGGCUUACCAAGGCAACGAUGGGUAGGGGUCCUGAGAGGGAGAUCCCCCACACUGGUACUGAGACACGGACCAGACUCCUACGGGAGGCAGCAGUGAGGAAUAUUGGUCAAUGGGCGCAAGCCUGAACCAGCCAUGUCGCGUGCAGGAAGACUGCCCUAUGGGUUGUAAACUGCUUUUAUACAGGAAUAAAGUGUACUACGUGUAGUAUUUUGUAUGUACUGUAUGAAUAAGGAUCGGCUAACUCCGUGCC